This 1051-nucleotide long non-coding RNA is filed under the name Zalophus californianus (California sea lion). RNAcentral's name for it is "lncRNA (ENSZCAG00015005749.1)". The record is from RNAcentral. Lineage: Eukaryota; Metazoa; Chordata; Mammalia; Carnivora; Otariidae.
UGAGGUCCUAAAGUUCAGAGUCUUACUCUGCUAAGAUUGGUGACGUUAUACAAAGAAGGAGAGCGAGCAAUCUCUCCCUCUUUGUGUGCAGGCAUGUUGAGGCAAGGUCACGGUGAGAAGGUGACCAUGUGCACACCAGGAAGAGAGCCCUCAUCCAAAUCAAAGCCUACCAGAUCUUAAUCCGGGACUUCUAGCCUCCAGAACCAUGAGAGGUGGACAGAGAUCCUGUUGCAGAAGCCACCCCUAGCAGACCGAGACACACGUAUGGACAGAAAAAAAGAAAUCCAUCAGCACAGAAAGCGAGGACCUGAGCAUCCCACCCCCAGCCCUGGGGCUCUGUAUUUGGAUUGUGGCUUUUGGCAGGACUUUUCUCCAUCUGGAUCUGCUACAGCUCAGCCCUAGAGCUGCACUCUCUGCGGCCGCAGGUGCCUGCGCUCGGGGAGAACGCUCUCGGCCUCGCGGCGCCCAGCCACUGCCCCGCCUCCUGCAGCGGCCGACCCGGACUGCCAGCCCCCCAGGGGCCCUUACGUCGUGGUGACCACUCCGACCGCAGGUCCGUGGCCCCCGGGGCGGGUGGGAAGCGAGACAAGUUCUGAGCGAGGGGACAGCGUGGUCGCCGGCGGUUACGAUAUGCCACGACCGGCCAGCCCAAAACCUGCCUCGGUGGCUCCCGAGCGCCGGGCGUGGGGACCGAGCCCGCCUGGCCGCCGCCCCCGCGGACCGAGAGCCACGCGGGGCCCCCCGGUGCGCCCCUCCCCGUCCGUGCCUCAGUCGCCCCACCAUAGGACCGGCACAGGGCUGCCCGGGGGGCUGGCCUCCGGCUGCGUGAGGAGGAGAUGAUACACCCCGUGCGCAGUCACAAGUACAGCUCAGGUGUGGGAACGUUCGGGGGCGACGGUGAGGGCGGGCACGUGCGGGGAGGGGGCGGGGGCGACGGUGGGGGGGGCACGUGUGGGGCGGGGGCGGGGGCGGGGGCGACGUGGGGGGGCACGUGCCGUGCGGGGCGGGGGCGAUGGUGGGGGGGCACGUGCGGGGCGGGGGCUAAGGUGGG